This 72-nucleotide transfer RNA is filed under the name Scopelarchus sp. ausc01. Its description in RNAcentral is "tRNA-Thr". It matches the Rfam family "tRNA". Rfam says of the family: Transfer RNA (tRNA) molecules are approximately 80 nucleotides in length. The record is from RNAcentral. Lineage: Eukaryota; Metazoa; Chordata; Actinopteri; Aulopiformes; Scopelarchidae.
GCCCUAGUAGCUCAGCUCCAGAGCGCCGGUCUUGUAAUCCGGAGGUCGGAGGUUAAAUUCCUCCCUAGUGCU